UCUGCUUUUCACUGGUGGCAAAUGGAAGCGGCUGCCAAAUGAAGGAGAUGCCCCUGGAUGCUGUGCCUCCCUGGGAGUCCUCCCGUUCUACACUCACUGUGUAAAACAGUCGAGGAAUUGCACAGGUGCUCCUAGUAAUCUUGCACGCGAACAUUGCACCAAACAGUAGAGAAAUCACACAGGGUAACUUGUUAGUAUAUCAACAAAGAAACUAUACCAACUCUGCCUUGCUGUAGCACAUGUUUACUUAUAGUAAAAUACAUACACCAGUGCAAAUAUUAUUCACACAAAUGAAGUAAAAUAU
This 304-nucleotide long non-coding RNA is filed under the name Triticum aestivum (bread wheat). RNAcentral describes it as "long non-coding RNA (TAES_LNC026374)". Lineage: Eukaryota; Viridiplantae; Streptophyta; Magnoliopsida; Poales; Poaceae. The record is from RNAcentral.